UCAUCAAUACGUGUAUAUUAAGUCGGUUUAUUCAUUUAAUAGACGCUCUAAUCCAAAGCCAUAAACAACUAGUCAACAAUAAAUAUUCAUUUAUUUACGGAGCAGAGCACAUGGAUGAACAUGGCCGUGCCAGAAAUGAUUAUUAUUCAUCUGUAGGCCACUGACGGUGUGUCACCCUAAAAACAAAUGAUCAUAUAUUGAUGCAUAAAAAACACGUACAUUACAGAAAAUCAUGCUAAACAUUAUAUUGAAUAAAAAUAUUGAUCUAAAUGUUGUGCUACAUAAAAACUAAAAAGAUCAUUUUACUAGCAAUUUUGAAGCUAAACAGUAGGACAUUAAAACUAAUUUAUAAUGCUAAUAUUUGUAAAAAGUUUACCAGCUGAGUUUAGUUUCAAAAUGAGAUCACUCCGUUUUUUAAACAUUUUCAAAAAUCAUGUUUUUAUUAUGUUAUCAUGAUUUUAUUGUGUUUUACUGUGUAAGGUAGCUGUUUUUCUUUUAGUUAUUACGGUUUAAAUAAAAACAAACCAACUUCAGUUUGAUUGAUAUUAAUUGAAAUGCACAAUAAAAAUACAUGAUUUAAAAAAAACGUUAUCUCAUUUUGGAUCCAAACUCUUCUUAUAUUAUAUAACAGAUUUGUUUCAGUGUUACAGAUUUGUUUCAGUGUUACAGAUUUGUUUCAGUGUUACAGAUGUUAUAAUGUUACAGAUUUGUUUCAGUGUUACAGAUGUUAUAAUGUUACAGAUUUGUUUCAGUGUUACAGAUGUCACAGUCUAUCAUUGGUCAGUGGGCGUUUAUGAGCUCAGAUUUCGUUUGUGUUGUAGUUUCACUUCCUGCUCGAGAUGAAAACGCAUGAAGUUUCUGCGCACUUUUAACCCAACACGCACGCUUUCAUUUUCUCUCUUUCAAAGUGAUGUCCGUAAAAACUUCGCAAACCUUCCUUUAAAAUGUCACGUGGCGUGUUUGUGAAGCUGAAGGGUUCGAGUGCGCGCGCGCUUGGAGAUCUUCACGCGACGGACGGAUCGCUUCCUGAUGUCUGCUGUGACAUUUGACUUCAUGUCCCCCCAGUGAAUAUUUCCUCUGGAUUUACGCUCGCACUGACCCGGUUCUGGCGAAGACAAUGGACUCUUGUAAAGGAAGUCCAGUGUCGUUUGUGAAGCUUCUGAGGAUCCAUCGGGAGCUUCUGGUGGGUCAGGUGAAGAACACACAGUGUCUGCUGGACAAUCUGCACGUGAACAACUUCAUCUGUACUGAAGACAGAGAGAUCAUACAGAGAAGCACCACCAAAACUGACCAGGUGCGCAGGAUUCUGGAGUUGGUUCAGAGUAAAGGAGAAGAAUGUUCUGCAUAUCUCGUCCAUGUUCUUCAUGAGGCAUAUGAUGCUUAUAUUGACCUGCGGCCGUGGUUCUGUGAUAUUCACUACAGUCCAUUAGAAUCUAUAAGAGUCGUACCUGUGAUCAACACAGACCCCAUCAGCAGAUACUGUGAGAAGCUGAGGUGUGAACUGGGAAGAGACACUCAGUUCAUCAUGUCUUAUUCGAGAAGUGAAGACACACGUCUGGAGGAUCUGUACACGGACACACAGAUGGAGCUGCUGAAUGACACCGGUGAAAGUUUGGGCUUCUUACAGAGUCUGAACCACCUGUUAGGAGAUCAGGGAGUCUUCAACCAGCAGGCCGAGACCAUCUUCAUCACAGGCGACGCUGGCGUGGGUAAAUCCAUCCUGCUUCAGAAGCUUCAGAAUCUGUGGUCCAGGAGAGAGCUGAACACCCGCGCCAAGUUCUUCUUCAAAUUCCGCUGCAGGAUGUUCAGCGCUUUCAAAGAAACGGACGAGAUCUCGCUGAAGGAGCUCAUCUUCAAACACAACUGCUAUCCGGAUAUAGACCCCGAUGACGAAGUCUUCACGUACAUCUUAAGAUUCCCAGAGACGGUGCUCUUCACGUUUGACGGAUACGACGAGAUCCAAAUGGACUUCGACCUGGAUAACGUACCCGAAGUGGUGUCGCCGGAGGAAAAGACGCACCCGCUUCUUCUCCUCAUGAAUCUGCUCUGUGGAAAACUGCUGAGAGGUUCCCGCAAGGUUCUGACAGCACGGACGGGCACGGAGGUCCAGCGCAGAGUGAUCAGGAAGAAGGUUUGUCUGCGAGGUUUCUCGCCCGAGCACCUGAGGACGUACACGGCUCUGCAUUUCCCAGAGACGGAACACAUGAAGCUGGUGAGCGUGCAGCUGGACGCAAACCCCCAUCUGUGCGGCCUCUGCUCCAUCCCGCUCUUCAGCUGGAUCAUCCUCAAGAGCUUCAGACAUUUCCUCUCCGUUUAUGACACCUUCCAGUUACCCGACUCCUGCAUCACCCUCACCAAUGUGUUCCUGCUCCUCUCCGAGGUGUUCUUGGGUCGCACGACGGCUCGGCCCGGUCUCCUGAAGCGCAGCACCAGGUGUCCUGCCGACACCUUCAAAUCGGGUGAAGCAAAGCUUUGGGCCUUUGCUAGACUGGCUCUGCAGGGUCUGGAGCGAGGGGGAUUUGUGUUCGGCGUGGAAGAGGUGACGUCCUGCGGGUUGGACGAGAAAGACCUUCAGUUCGGCUUCCUGAGGCCCGUCUCUCACUACGACGCCUGCGGAGGAUCCGCCACCUUCGAGUUUCUCCACGUGACCCUGCAGGCGUUCCUCGCCGCUUUUUGUCUGGUGCUGGACGCGAACAUCACAGCCGACGCUAUUCUGAGGUUCUUCUCCAGAUGUGAAUACAAACACAAGUCCCGUCUCUCUUGUUUCUCGUGUCUGGGAAGAUCACGGCCCAGAGAGAGGGACCCGUUUCAGACCAACGAACACUUUCAGUUCGCUAACCUCUUUCUGUGCGGCCUCUUGUCCAAACCCAACGCCGCGCUCCUGGAGCAUCUCGUCCCACCGCUCUCGCUGAAGAAAAAGCGGAAGACGCUGAAGUCGUACCUGUCUAACAGCGUGAGGACGCAUCUGAAGGGUCUGCCUCGAUACCCAUCCACGGACAUCCAGGGUUACAAAGUGCACGCCAUGCCCAACUUCAUGUGGAUGUUGCGCUGUAUAUUUGAGACCAACAGCGAGGAAGUGGCCGAGAUGACGGCCAACGGCAUAUCGGCGGAUUAUAUAAAGAUCGCAUUCUGUAACAUUUACUCGGCGGACUGCAGCGCACUCAACUUUGUGCUGCAUCACCGGAAGAAGCAUCUGGGGGUCGACAUGGACAACAACAACAUCAGUGAUUAUGGCGUGAAACAGCUGACACAUUCCUUCAGUAAAAUGACCGUGGUAAGAUUGUGUGUGAAUCAGCUGACGGACAGCAGCGUCGAGGUUCUGGCAAAGGAACUCAUCACACAUAAAGUCAUCAAGGUUCUGGGUCUUUACAAGAAUCACAUCACAGACGUUGGAGCCAAACUGAUAGCAGAGAUCAUUGAAGAAUGUCCUCAUCUUCGCACUGUCAAGUAAGUGAACAUACAGCGUCUGAUCUCACUACAUUAUUCCUGCUCAACGUUCAUUCAUAUAUAAUCUGUAAUCUGUAAAUCUACAGGGGUAUAAAGUCUCGUUCACACCCAGAACGAUAACUUUGCAGAACCAAUCCUUCCUAUAUGCAGACUAUGCAGGUUGCGUAGGGCCCCUGCACCACCACGGGGCCCCCUUGAGUCCCGAAUCAAAAACACUAUUAUAUCAUGCAGUGGGCGGCAGGUAAUGACAUGCGCAUGAUGUGCUGAUAUGAGCUAUCCGUCUGGAGUGAAAAAACAGCAACAUCGCGAAGCAAAAGAACAGGAAGGCAUGUGUUUUUGUUCUAUUUUAAAGUCUUAAUUAGUUUUGCAAUGAAAACUAUGCACUGAAUUACUUACAAAACAAUUCUCCAGUACAGAUUUACGCAUUCAGUAUUGGUCCAUUGUAUUUGGUUUGCCCAUGAUAUGUCAUUUUUAGUUUGUGCCAUCACAUUUAGAGAAUUACUGAUGUGUUUUCAUAUGCUUAGAUUUGUUGAGUAAACUGUAUUUAUCAUGCUUUGUUUUUGUUAGUAAAUCAGUAAAUUUGGUUGGAAAAAACACUGUGUUUAUGUGUUAAUGUCUUUUUUUUGACAGCUAGAUGGUUCCAGAGUAGAGCCUGCGUGCGUUACGUUAGGAAAAGAAUGAUUUACAUGUCAAUCUAAAUUUGAAUUUAACGUUAUUCUUAAUUGUUCUUACUGUCAGUUUAAUGUUUCUUUUGUCUUUUUCUGUCUUCAUUCGUUUAAGUGUGUUAAUUGAUUUAUUAUUAUUUAUGUCUUAUAGUUUACAGUUCUGUUUAUAUCAAAUUAUUUUCCCUAUGCUGGUCUUCCUGCAAAGGCUAUCAAAUCACUCCAGCUGGUUCAGAACGCAGCAGCAUGCCUCGUCUUCCACGUGACGGCCCUUUUCAUCUCUCUCCACUGGCUACCGGUUGAAGCCCGUAUCAGGUUCAAGUCACUAAUGCUUGCCUACAGGACUAUCACUGGAUCUGCACCCUCCUACACUCCUACACCCCAUCAAGAUCCCUGCGUUCAGCAAACCAGCGGCGUCUUGUGUUGCCUUUCAUAAGGGCAGUAAAUGGCUUUCCAGCUCUUUCUCCUUCACAACUCCUUCCUGGUGGAACAUUCUUCCUUACUCGGUCCGGUCAACCACAUCUCAAAAAACGACUUCAAACCCAUCUCUUCUGUGAAUACUUGACAGACAAAUGAGAAGAAAAAGACUAACCCUCUCUCUUUCUCUCAACUGGUAGUGGUCUGGCUUUUGUUGAAACUAGUAACUUUGUAUUAGCACCUGUUGUAUUAUUGCUCCUGUAAGACAUAUCGCUUAUUGCAAACCCUGAACUCUCUGUAAGUCGCUUUGAUAGAAGCGUCUGCUAAAUGACUAAAUGUAAAUGUAUUAGUACAAGGGCCCCUCACAAGUUUGCUUAGGGCCCCAGACGUCUAGGAUCGGCACUGACUAUGUGAACAUCGACACCAACAGUUGAUAACAUUAUGUUUACUCCCUUAAAUUGGCUGAUUUGUACUCCAACGUUCAGAAAGAUUUUUAAAACGAAAGUUUUUGUUCUAGGCAUGAAUGAACGAUUGGUAUGGAUGAAAUCUACUCAUGUUUACUGGGUACAAAUAUUUCAAAAGUUCAUGACGGUCAUUCAGAUCAGUGAUGUACAUUUGUCUGUUUUUAGACUUGGCUGUAACAACAUCACAUCUUUAGGUGGGACGCAUCUCGCCAGAGCAAUUCACAAGAGCAAAUCCAUCUUUGA
RNA transcript from Triplophysa rosa, 5233 nucleotides. It is a transcript of the gene named nucleotide-binding oligomerization domain containing 1, with no coding region annotated. Lineage: Eukaryota; Metazoa; Chordata; Actinopteri; Cypriniformes; Nemacheilidae. The record is from RefSeq and is a predicted model, not a curated record. The transcript is spliced from 6 exons.